RNAcentral lists this ribosomal RNA (440 nucleotides) under uncultured bacterium. Its description in RNAcentral is "partial 16S ribosomal RNA". It matches the Rfam family "Bacterial small subunit ribosomal RNA", at positions 338 to 795 of the family's 1533-position model. The record is from RNAcentral.
CCUACGGGAGGCAGCAGUGGGGAAUAUUGCACAAUGGGGGAAACCCUGAUGCAGCGACGCCGCGUGAGUGAUGAAGUAUCUCGGUACGUAAAGCUCUAUCAGCAGGGAAGAAAAUGACGGUACCUGACUAAGAAGCCCCGGCUAACUACGUGCCAGCAGCCGCGGUAAUACGUAGGGGGCAAGCGUUAUCCGGAUUUACUGGGUGUAAAGGGAGCGUAGACGGCGGGACAAGUCAGGAGUGAAAUCCCGGGGCUUAACCCCGGGACUGCGUUUGAAACUGUGCGGCUGGAGUGCAGGAGGGGCAAGCGGAAUUCCUAGUGUAGCGGUGAAAUGCGUAGAUAUUAGGAGGAACACCAGUGGCGAAGGCGGCUUACUGGACUGUAACUGACGUUGAGGCUCGAAAGCGUGGGGAGCAAACAGGAUUAGAUACCCGUGUAGUC